AUGGCCUACAGGGGGCAGCAGUGGGGAAUAUUGCACAAUGGGGGAAACCCUGAUGCAGCGACGCCGCGUGAGCGAAGAAGUAUCUCGGUAUGUAAAGCUCUAUCAGCAGGGAAGAAAAUGGCGGUACCUGACUAAGAAGCCCCGGCUAACUACGUGCCAGCAGCCGCGGUAAUACGUAGGGGGCAAGCGUUAUCCGGAUUCACUGGGUGUAAAGGGAGCGCAGGCGGCGCGGUAAGUCUGAUGUGAAAGCCCGGGGCUCAACCCCGGGACUGCAUUGGAAACUGUCGUGCUGGAGUGGCGGAGGG
This 305-nucleotide ribosomal RNA is filed under the name uncultured bacterium. Its description in RNAcentral is "bacterial SSU rRNA". It matches the Rfam family "Bacterial small subunit ribosomal RNA", at positions 334 to 656 of the family's 1533-position model. The record is from RNAcentral.